Molecule: unclassified non-coding RNA, 202 nt
Filed under: soil metagenome
Description: partial contains 5.8S ribosomal RNA, internal transcribed spacer 2, and large subunit ribosomal RNA
Source: RNAcentral
AACCUUAUGGACCUGCGGGCGUAUACCUGCGGAAGGAUCAUUACCGAGUUUACAACUCCCAAACCCCUGUGAACCAUACCAUAUCGUUGCCUCGGCGGCGCCCCCUCGGGGGACCGCCAGAGGACCCAAACUCUUUGCCUUUGAUAAGUUUGUCUGAGUGUUGCUGCAAGCAAAAUAAAUCAAAACUUUCAACAACGGAUCU